This is a long non-coding RNA of Hyposmocoma kahamanoa, 278 nucleotides long. RefSeq lists it as uncharacterized. The record is from RefSeq and is a predicted model, not a curated record. The transcript has 3 exons. Lineage: Eukaryota; Metazoa; Arthropoda; Insecta; Lepidoptera; Cosmopterigidae.
ACACCCGCCGCUGUCCCGACCCGACCCGCACGCGCUCCCUAAAUAGGUAAGGUGCAGUACUUCCCUGGACAAACUCUUUCACAAGGAGAUGUUAUAUAUUUGUUUAAUAGUGUUCCAAGAAUGUAGAGAACUGUACGUAGAACAAUGGUACAGGAUGAUAAGAAGUACAUGAGGAAAUUGAAGUGGGGUUACGCUGGACAUAUCAUGAGGGAGACUAAAAAACGGACCAGAGCUGUAACAGAGUGGUACCCAAGAGAAGGUGCGUGUGCCGUCCCACC